Long non-coding RNA from Dreissena polymorpha, 1413 nucleotides. RefSeq lists it as uncharacterized. The transcript has 2 exons. The record is from RefSeq and is a predicted model, not a curated record. Lineage: Eukaryota; Metazoa; Mollusca; Bivalvia; Myida; Dreissenidae.
GUUUUUUGACGUCAUUAUAUACUUGUUUGUGUUGAGAAAUAGAAAGAAAAUGUAGUUAAUUUGUUAAAACAAACUUUGAAAAAGCCUAUUUAGGCGAAAUAUAUCAGGAAAGAGAGGAACUUGUUCUGUGAGAAGGCCUACCGAAACACCCAUGCGUUGAGCAUCUUAAUUUUAUUCAGCUAGUAUCAACACAUUUCAUCAGAUACGCAGUUAAAAUCGAAGUCAUCACGAGUGUUCACGCCAUCCGUUGGCAUCUUAAAUUUGAAAUUCGAGACAAAACUUGGAAGAAUAUAUGUUGGUCUUCCUCCUCGAACCGAUCAAUGAAGGACUCGCCAGUCUAUUUCCGAUAAAACUAGACAAGUAGUUAAUGAUUUUUUGAAUGCAAAGUUAAAUAUACUAUCCUAUCUUAACAUUUAUGCAUUGUUAAAUUAGCAAUUUAAUAUAAUAAUCGUAUGCGGAGGUUCUAGUCACAAAAUUAUGUUGUAUGUUUAUCGCUUGGUUCGGGUUCAUAUGAUAUCAUCGAAUCUUAUAACUUGUUAAUAUGUACUAACUCUGUCAAUUCAUUUAGAUGACUCGUCUUUAAUGUUGUUGAUAUUGUUUUAAUGCUUAAUUGGUAUUUUACCUUAUAUUUGAAUAUAAGCAUACAUAAGCCACAGUAUUAGUUCAUGCGUAUUUUAAUCCAUUUAAGGCUACUAUAAUAUGUUAUUAUGUAUAUUUAACAUCAGUGUAUCUUAUCUAUCAUGUUUGUUUAAUCGACUGGUCAUGUCUCAUUUUAACUAUAUAUAGACUAUAAAAAUUAUGUUUUCUCUUCCUCUCCUGAUAUUUGUUUUAAUAAAUAAAUAAUAGCAUUUAUAUAUAUUAAAAGAAACCUACAUGGUUCCUAUGUUAAUAAUACGAUAAGAAUAUGUAAUUAUGUUCGUAAAUAUACAAUUAGCAAGAGUGUAAAUUACAUAUGGAUUUGGAAUAUUUGUAUUCUAUAAUUGCUUCUAUGACUGACGAAUUAACUUGGUGUAAAUAUAUCGUAAGAAUAUUUAUGUUGUUGAAUGUUAUAUGCAUUAAUUGUAUUCAUGAAAAAUACUAAUACGCAUUUUUACUGUGUUAAUGUUACUUUUGAUUAAUAAAAAACCUCUUUAAAAGAGAUUUUCAAUUACCAGUUCAGCAUUACAAUUAGAACGAUUGUAUCGUAUGUAUGUGUUCAAAUAAUUACAGAUUACCACAUGCAAUAUAUAUAGUUUGAACCGAUAUAUUAAAGGACGUCAACCUCUUUAAAAAAGAUUUUCAAUUACCAGUUCAGCAUUACAAUUAGAACGAUUAUAUCGUAUGUAUGUGUUCAAAUAAUUACAGAUUACCACAUGCAAUAUAUAUAGUUUGAACCGAUAUAUUAAAGGACGUCAACACUUAUGACGAAAUGGC